RNAcentral lists this ribosomal RNA (161 nucleotides) under Rhodococcus sp. NN13. Its description in RNAcentral is "partial 16S ribosomal RNA". It matches the Rfam family "Bacterial small subunit ribosomal RNA", at positions 97 to 260 of the family's 1533-position model. Lineage: Bacteria; Bacillati; Actinomycetota; Actinomycetes; Mycobacteriales; Nocardiaceae. The record is from RNAcentral.
GGCGAACGGGUGAGUACACGUGGGUGAUCUGCCCUGCACUUCGGGAUAAGCCUGGGAAACUGGGUCUAAUACCGGAUAUGACUUCAUGUUGCAUGACUUGGGGUGGAAAGAUUUAUCGGUGCAGGAUGGGCCCGCGGCCUAUCACCUUGUUGGUGGGGUAA